Lagopus leucura (white-tailed ptarmigan) is the source of this 2460-nucleotide long non-coding RNA. RefSeq lists it as uncharacterized. Lineage: Eukaryota; Metazoa; Chordata; Aves; Galliformes; Phasianidae. The record is from RefSeq and is a predicted model, not a curated record. The transcript has 3 exons.
CUUUUAUGUGUGCUGGUGACUCACCCAGAGCAGAGGCACAGUGAAGGUCACACCAGAGACAAAGUACUUUGAAAUGUAGGCUAAGUCAUACAAAAAGAACUGCAAAAUCCAAAGACCACAAGACUUUUUCCACUGAGAGGAUAAUGAAUGUGCAGAAGUACACCUAAAGAAUGGUGCAGAACCAAGCAGUGUGGUAUAAUUGAACAUACAUUGGUACUAGCCUGCAAGAAUAGAAGUGAGCACAAAUUCUCCCCUCCCGACAGAAGAAGCCCACAGAAUGAGAGAGAGAGAUCUGAUAAAAUUCCAGCCCUACUGAAAUGGAUGGAAAUUUUGCCACUGACUGUUCAACAAAGGACUCUUCCCUGCAGACCUAUUAGGAAUUUUUAAUUGGAUAUAAUGUAUGCUGAGAAAGAUGAUAAUACAAUGGGGAAAAUUUGGUGCUUAGAUAAAUGAGCCACUGAUACUGCAUCUGUUAAAAUGUGUUUCACCAAGGGGCCACUUCUCCAGUAAGGACAGAGAAAUGUGCAAAGGAAAGGAGCAAAAAGAGCCCAUUUCCUGCCCAUUUGGCUGUGUUUUAUGCCAAGAAGGUCAUAGCGCUGCAUGAGUACUUGUGGCUCUUCUUCAAAGGCUCUGCUUCAAUUCAGACAAUCAAAGCUGAUGAGGACUCACCCUAAAGUGCACUUCUGUUUUCUAACAUAGCCUCUCUGGAAAAUAUGAUGUUACAAUAUUGGCCAGUCAGUUGGUCUGUCAUUUUUGGUUGGCCUCUUCUGUUGUAACACGAUGACACUGGGUUUUUUUCUUUGUUUUUCAUCAGCUGUCGAGAGAUACAAAUGCUGACUUCCUCCUAAACCUUUGGAUCCCACUGGAAUUUCCCAGUGCUGGGUCUACUUACUCCACAUUUGAAGCUUCCUUCCUGGCAGUUUUCAGCAUCCUCUGUAGAGUUACACCUCUGGGUUAUUGGUAUGCAUUUCUCUUGCAGCCUUCACUGGAUAUCUGACUUCCUCACAAACAUAAACAGUCAUUUCACAGUAACCCUGUUAGAAAAGCAAGAAUUAUCACUUUUACUUAGAUUACAAAUGCAGGGGCUUUCACAGUGACCACAAACAUGCAGCUGUCGAAGACAGAUUGACUUUCCUGUAGGGAAUACACUGUGUUCUUGUUCAGAGGAGAUGAAUCUUUCCUGAGCGGGUGGAAGUUCCUCCACUGACAUGGGGUGCAGCAGAAGCUACUGGGGUCCAUCCCUGAAGAAGUGCAUUCACUAAUUCAGGUGACUGCUGAAAAAGGAUAUUCCCUUGUUUUGGCUGGAAAGAUUCAAGUGGUGCUUUAAACCAAGACAUUCACAGUGCCUUAAUGGAUCAGAGAUACUGUUCAUACUCUUAAUCUCUUAAUCUCCUGACAAUGCAUUAUAUCAUUAAUUAAUCUUUAUGAGUCUGACUUUGUGGUUCCUGCAUAGCAUUUGACAAUGCUAUUUCUGAUGGCUAGACAUGUAAAGAGUGACCACUCACAGGCAGAGAUUUAUGCGGCUCUGAGAAAGACAUUUCUAAGGAAACCAGUCUUUAUAUCUUCAUGGGCAUACUGGCUCCAGGGGUUGCAAAUCUUUCCUAUAUACCAUAACUCAAGGUUGAACAACCAUUACUUAACUUAAUGGUACAGAAUCUGCAACAAGAACGUUUUCAACAUUCAUGUCAGGCCCAAACAUAAGUAAUGUUUUAUGAAUUUGAGUUUAUUUUGCUCUUCAGCAACUGACUAUUAGGCAUUAGCUGGAGGCAUCAAGGAUCUGAUUUCUGCCCCUAGUUAUGUUCCUGCAAAACUGCGCCACUGACCCUGAGUCCAACAUCCCACCUCAUAUCUCCUCUCUUGGCUCACUGCUGGUUGCAUAUUGAGUUUGAAUGAGUGUAAUUCGGUGACCAUUUUCUGAUUUGUGGUGGGACUUUGGGACACAUCUGUUAUAAGCAAGAAGACUUUCUAUAUCCUCUGGGAAUUUUUGGAAAUUUUUACUCUUGUUCCUGCAGAUUGGUAAAAGUCUGCUUCCAAAAAGCAAUGUAUUUGCUUAUUCAAAACACAGAGAGCAGAAGCUUUAAAAGCAAGGGAAGAGCUCCAGCACUCUUUAAUCCAGUGAGUUUGGUGUGUGCCAGCAGUCAUGUGUAAUCGUCCUCAAACAGACGCAUGCACCAUUGCUGCAAACUCCCUCAGAAAACGUCCCUCAACAAAUCCUUCCUCAGAGCUGUCUCUUCAACCUCCUCCCACAUAUGGUAGUGCACAGAGUUAACUUGUGAGAACUCAGUUGGUUGUCUGUGUGCUCAGAAGAUUAUGAAGAGGAUAAAGUGGGUUUUACUUAUUCCCUCUGAUUUAAUACUUAUUGUAUCAGCACUGCUUUCAUUUAGUAUUCUUAUAUUGGUAAAAUGUGGGCUUUCAUUGCAAGAUUUACUUCUUAGCAAUAAAAACCUGAUAUAAACCAGA